Molecule: ribosomal RNA, 1731 nt
Filed under: Escherichia coli
Lineage: Bacteria; Pseudomonadati; Pseudomonadota; Gammaproteobacteria; Enterobacterales; Enterobacteriaceae
Description: partial 23S ribosomal RNA
Rfam family: Bacterial large subunit ribosomal RNA
Source: RNAcentral
GGGUUGUGAGGUUAAGCGACUAAGCGUACACGGUGGAUGCCCUGGCAGUCAGAGGCGAUGAAGGACGUGCUAAUCUGCGAUAAGCGUCGGUAAGGUGAUAUGAACCGUUAUAACCGGCGAUUUCCGAAUGGGGAAACCCAGUGUGUUUCGACACACUAUCAUUAACUGAAUCCAUAGGUUAAUGAGGCGAACCGGGGGAACUGAAACAUCUAAGUACCCCGAGGAAAAGAAAUCAACCGAGAUUCCCCCAGUAGCGGCGAGCGAACGGGGAGCAGCCCAGAGUCUGAAUCAGUGUGUGUGUUAGUGGAAGCGUCUGGAAAGGCGCGCGAUACAGGGUGACAGCCCCGUACACAAAAAUGCACAUGCUGUGAGCUCGAUGAGUAGGGCGGGACACGUGGUAUCCUGUCUGAAUAUGGGGGGACCAUCCUCCAAGGCUAAAUACUCCUGACUGACCGAUAGUGAACCAGUACCGUGAGGGAAAGGCGAAAAGAACCCCGGCGAGGGGAGUGAAAAAGAACCUGAAACCGUGUACGUACAAGCAGUGGGAGCACGCUUAGGCGUGUGACUGCGUACCUUUUGUAUAAUGGGUCAGCGACUUAUAUUCUGUAGCAAGGUUAACCGAAUAGGGGAGCCGAAGGGAAACCGAGUCUUAACUGGGCGUUAAGUUGCAGGGUAUAGACCCGAAACCCGGUGAUCUAGCCAUGGGCAGGUUGAAGGUUGGGUAACACUAACUGGAGGACCGAACCGACUAAUGUUGAAAAAUUAGCGGAUGACUUGUGGCUGGGGGUGAAAGGCCAAUCAAACCGGGAGAUAGCUGGUUCUCCCCGAAAGCUAUUUAGGUAGCGCCUCGUGAAUUCAUCUCCGGGGGUAGAGCACUGUUUCGGCAAGGGGGUCAUCCCGACUUACCAACCCGAUGCAAACUGCGAAUACCGGAGAAUGUUAUCACGGGAGACACACGGCGGGUGCUAACGUCCGUCGUGAAGAGGGAAACAACCCAGACCGCCAGCUAAGGUCCCAAAGUCAUGGUUAAGUGGGAAACGAUGUGGGAAGGCCCAGACAGCCAGGAUGUUGGCUUAGAAGCAGCCAUCAUUUAAAGAAAGCGUAAUAGCUCACUGGUCGAGUCGGCCUGCGCGGAAGAUGUAACGGGGCUAAACCAUGCACCGAAGCUGCGGCAGCGACGCUGAUGCGUUGUUGGGUAGGGGAGCGUUCUGUAAGCCUGCGAAGGUGUGCUGUGAGGCAUGCUGGAGGUAUCAGAAGUGCGAAUGCUGACAUAAGUAACGAUAAAGCGGGUGAAAAGCCCGCUCGCCGGAAGACCAAGGGUUCCUGUCCAACGUUAAUCGGGGCAGGGUGAGUCGACCCCUAAGGCGAGGCCGAAAGGCGUAGUCGAUGGGAAACAGGUUAAUAUUCCUGUACUUGGUGUUACUGCGAAGGGGGGACGGAGAAGGCUAUGUUGGCCGGGCGACGGUUGUCCCGGUUUAAGCGUGUAGGCUGGUUUUCCAGGCAAAUCCGGAAAAUCAAGGCUGAGGCGUGAUGACGAGGCACUACGGUGCUGAAGCAACAAAUGCCCUGCUUCCAGGAAAAGCCUCUAAGCAUCAGGUAACAUCAAAUCGUACCCCAAACCGACACAGGUGGUCAGGUAGAGAAUACCAAGGCGCUUGAGAGAACUCGGGUGAAGGAACUAGGCAAAAUGGUGCCGUAACUUCGGGAGAAGGCACGCUGAUAUGUAGGUGA